UGUAGCUACCCACCAGCUUGUGGCCCGUUGGGCCUUGAUAGGGAAGACGGUGUGAAUCCGUCGCGGACCCGCCGCCGUAACCGAGGACGAACGCCGAUAGUAUGUCACUGUCCGCAAGGAUGGGAAGACGCGGCAAGUAGAACGAUUCGGAAGCCGGAAGACCUGCUUGCUUGCGAUUUGUUCU
RNAcentral lists this non-coding RNA (184 nucleotides) under Desulfatitalea sp. The record is from RNAcentral. Lineage: Bacteria; Pseudomonadati; Thermodesulfobacteriota; Desulfobacteria; Desulfobacterales; Desulfosarcinaceae.